Molecule: long non-coding RNA, 689 nt
Filed under: Mus musculus (house mouse)
Lineage: Eukaryota; Metazoa; Chordata; Mammalia; Rodentia; Muridae
Description: long non-coding RNA chr6:120769001-120769690
Source: RNAcentral
UCAGAUUUCGUCAUAACUUAGAACCCUUAGGGCUUAAAAGAAAUAAAAGAUUCAGAAAGCACAAGUGGAGCCUUUUAGAGGGCUUAUGAGCGUGUGUGUCUUUGUCCCCCAACCCCAUCCCUACUGUGAAAUAGUUUUCUUUAAAGGGAAAAAAAUAGCAAGAGCUGUUAGCUAAAAUUCCUCCCCUUAGAAGAAUGUGAAUAGGAUAGACUAUGCAGGGCUCUUGUUCAUGUAACUUUCCGUCCAAUCUCUUAAAAAUAAAUGUACAGCUACUCUUGCUUUCUGAGCCAGAUUGGUUUUGGGUCACCUGAUGAGGCACCUAUCUGAGCCUGUGAACUUCUCUUCAGUUCACACUGAGCCUAGCUGGGCCACGUGCUCUCAAAGGCUAAAUCUCAUACUAGUCCAUAUAUUAAACUAUAUGGAAAACUUUAAGACCCGUGGUCUCCUCCAAUCAAAUUUCAUGUUGCCUUUUUUUUAAUCAAUCAAAAUUCAACUUUAAAUGUCAAUUACUCUAGUCUGUCUCUUGACUGGCCAUGGUGUUAUUGUCCAAUGACAUUUGUUUGCUGUAUGGUUGUUCUCUACGUUAACUUCUACUGAAAUUAAAAGGUGUGCAUGUUCAAUGUAGUCUUAAACACACAAAUGUCCCAAUGUAGUUCUCAACUAUGUUUGCCAUCAACAUGACUCAAGUC